GACGAACGCUGGCGGCGUGCUUAACACAUGCAAGUCGAACGAUGAAGCCUAGCUUGCUAGGUGGAUUAGUGGCGAACGGGUGAGUAAUACGUGAGUAACCUACCUUUAACUCUGGGAUAAGCCUGGGAAACUGGGUCUAAUACCGGAUACGACCAAUCUCCGCAUGGGGUGUUGGUGGAAAGCGUUAUGUAGUGGUUAUAGAUGGGCUCACGGCCUAUCAGCUUGUUGGUGAGGUAACGGCUCACCAAGGCGACGACGGGUAGCCGGCCUGAGAGGGUGACCGGCCACACUGGGACUGAGACACGGCCCAGACUCCUACGGGAGGCAGCAGUGGGGAAUAUUGCACAAUGGGCGCAAGCCUGAUGCAGCGACGCCGCGUGAGGGAUGACGGCCUUCGGGUUGUAAACCUCUGUUAGCAGGGAAGAGGAGAAAUUGACGGUACCUGCAGAGAAAGCGCCGGCUAACUACGUGCCAGCAGCCGCGGUAAUACGUAGGGCGCGAGCGUUGUCCGGAAUUAUUGGGCGUAAAGAGCUUGUAGGCGGUUUGUCGCGUCUGCUGUGAAAGGCCGGGGCUUAACCCCGUGUAUUGCAGUGGGUACGGGCAGACUAGAGUGCAGUAGGGGAGACUGGAAUUCCUGGUGUAGCGGUGGAAUGCGCAGAUAUCAGGAGGAACACCGAUGGCGAAGGCAGGUCUCUGGGCUGUAACUGACGCUGAGAAGCGAAAGCAUGGGGAGCGAACAUG
RNAcentral lists this ribosomal RNA (741 nucleotides) under Rothia mucilaginosa. RNAcentral describes it as "bacterial SSU rRNA". It matches the Rfam family "Bacterial small subunit ribosomal RNA", at positions 28 to 776 of the family's 1533-position model. The record is from RNAcentral. Lineage: Bacteria; Bacillati; Actinomycetota; Actinomycetes; Micrococcales; Micrococcaceae.